CCAAAUGAACUGUGAGUUGCCCUCACUACAAUAAUAAUCAAUAUGCUCCAGAGUGUAAGAGAUAUUCAUCUGUGUUUCAUUAGGCCUCCCAGUCUCCUGGAAGGACCCCAGCUGCGUGGACUCAGCUGUCCCCAUCGCGUCCGACAGCUGUGGCGUUUACGGCACUUUUUACGUGGACCUGAUUGGCAACGGUCUCAAGACCUUUAACAGUCCUGGGCGUCGCACUAAAUUGCCUCAUGGUGUGCCCCACCAGCAAGGAACUGAGACCAUCCAGAUCUUCUCUCAGCCUGUCGCAAAGACCUCGCCCCUCGGUAGCUGCGAGGCGCUACCAUGGAAACAUGCUAUACGCCCCCAGCCCAAGAUGGGUGUGCUGAGGGAGUCACGGGAAAAAACCCACAGCAAGCAAGAGUUGUAUGCAGUGAACAGCGUCCCCAUAGUGCCCACCAGGAUCCAGGCUUGUCCAUCCAGUGUGUACAAACAGAGACUCAGUCACAUACCAUCAGGCCGGCACGGUGGACAUCCACACUGGGAUAAUAUUGCUGGCUGUCCUCGACUGCUGCAAUACUCUGCAUCGUUACACCUAGUGGACAUGCUACCCCCCCCGCCACCAAUGCCCAUAGAGGACACCACGGACACACACAGCCGCACCUCGGAUGAAGGCUCCAGUCGUUCUACAAAGCUAACAGUGGACAUGGGCUCUCUCCAGUCAGUGUGUGCUGCGUCAGGCCACCGUGUGCAACCUCGACCCCCCACCACCACCACCACCACCACCAGCUGCCCCUCCUACAGCCACCUGUCCUCUACGUCAUAUUCCAUGUCAAUGGAGGACGAACAGUGUGGCACGCUGACAGCACAUGAAGCUAUCCAGUAUCUGGAGCUCAGCCCGAAACCUGAGAGAUGCAGGUAG
Molecule: long non-coding RNA, 907 nt
Filed under: Cottoperca gobio
Lineage: Eukaryota; Metazoa; Chordata; Actinopteri; Perciformes; Bovichtidae
Description: lncRNA (ENSCGOG00000022840.1)
Source: RNAcentral